UUUUGUGAUACAUUCACAUAAAUGACGAAGUAGACUAUAUAUUUUGUUAAUAGUAGUCAUCCAAGGGAAAAACCAUCUUUGUUACUUUCAAAACAGUCUAGUCUUGGUAGAAGACUACUCUUUAUACUAAUAGAAAUCAUAGGGAUUUGCUAGGGUAUUCAAACGUUUUCAAACUAGUUUCAAACAGUUCAUACUUAUACAAACCUUUUUCCAAAUGUUCACAAGUCUUUACUUUCCAGUUUUACAAAUCUAAGACACAUUAAUACUUAUAAAUUCACCAACUUUAUUGCUGAUACUCGCUUUCAAAAUACUUGUAUUCUCAGGUCACAAAUAGACAGGUACGACGACCAGGUUUUGUGAAGAUGGAGAAAUCAAGACUCCUAUUUUAUGUAGAUUGUUCAUUAUGUUGUCUUAUACUAUGAAAGAACACACUUGUAAUUAAAAUUAUACUUUUAAUGCAAUGGAUGAUGUUGUUGCUUCUUUACUACUUUGCAUUGUUGUGAUACAUUACAUGACGUCCUCCGCCGCAGAACGUUUCCGACGUUCUCGGAUUUUGGGUGUGACAGAAAAGUCACUCAUCUUCAUCAUGCCCGAGACAAACAACUACUGAUCGAACAUCACAAUUUCCAUCACCUAAUACAUUUUGUNNNNNNNNNNNNNNNNNNNNNNNNNNNNNNNNNNNNNNNNNNNNNNNNNNNNNNNNNNNNNNNNNNNNNNNNNNNNNNNNNNNNNNNNNNNNNNNNNNNNUACCGGCGACAUGGGCUUUUAGCGGCGACAAAUGCUAGAGUCGCCACUAAAAGUCCACUUCGCCGGUAAUAAUGUCCCUGCUAAAGGGUUAUCACUCGAAUCCAUGUUUUCCCCAUCCGUUACAUCUAAGCCCGUAUGAUCAAAUAUCAAAUCCAACGGUUGGGAUUCCUUAUCCGCAUUAACCUAAUACCGGCGACAUAUAUGUCGCCGCUAAAAGUUAAAAAUGUCGUCGCUAAUAGUUAGCUAAAAGUUUAAUCGGAUAUUAUGACUUUUAAUAUUUAAUUAAUUAUAAUCGGAUGUUUGUUAUGUAAUUANAGCGUCGACAUAUUAUUUUUUAUUUUUCAUCGAAUGUUGUUAUGUAAUUACCGACGACAUUAUUACGGGCAACCAAAAUCUUUAAUUAAAAAAAAUUAAAAAAAUGAAAAUUGGUAUUACCGGCGACACUAUUACCGGCGACUGUGUUAUUACCGACGACAUUGUUAUUAACGGCGACACACAUUAUUAGCGGCGACAAAUAUCAUUAGCAGCGACAAUUUGCUCAAUAGCGACGAAACAGUAGUGACGACUUAUUACCGGCGACGCGUCGCCGCUAUUACUAUUACCGGCGACUACCCGACUUAUUACCUGCGACUUUUGACGCGGCUAAUGAUCGUUUUCCUAGUAGUAAAUAUAAUAUUAUCACUACGUAAGUAAGAGAAUAUGUAGCUCCUAAGGAUUUACGUCUCUAUAGUAUAUUAAAACAUAGCAUCUAUGAAUUACAAAAUGCUCGUAAUGAUAAUAAUCAAAGAAUGUUUAAUGAACAUGAAUAUUUUUCUUCUUCUGAUCGGACCAUCAACAAAAUUAGCACCAUAGACGGAAAGCCAAAAAUAAGUAUAGGCAUUAUGCAUGUUUAGGAUAGGGUGCUAAAUGAACAGGUUACAUGAAUGCAUUAUAAUUAUAGAAUUUAUUUAAAAUGUCCUGUACACACCAACGUACAACACUAAUUUAUAGUUAUAUUAUUAGAGUAUCUCCAAUGAUAAUUUAUUUAUAGUUUUUUACUAUUUCCUUGAUAACUUAAUAUUAUUAAACAUCAUUGGAGAUAAUAGUUUUUUUGUUUUUUUUAUUGAUCAUUCAAUAUAUAUUGAAUGGUCAAUAUAGUAUAAAUGUUUAUCCAGUCUAAUCCUUUAUCUUUAAAAAUAUUUCAUUUUACCUACAUAAUUUUAUUUUAGUUGAAAUAAUAUUGAUUUCUUUAAUAAAUAAUUAUUUCUAUUAGAUGUUACAAAUGUUUAUAUAUUAUAACUACAAUAAAUUUUAAUACAAACUAUAUUUUAAUAAAAAUAUGAUGUGUUUAAAAACAACUAAUUAGUUUAAGGGGUUAUAAGAAACAAUUUAUAUACAUGUGGAUCAACUAGUUAAACUAAAAAAAAAAACACUAUGUUGAGGUUAACCUUUGCAGAUAUAACUUAAUUAGAGCUUAAAAAUAAAUAGAAUGAUGAGUUGACAAUAACUUUAAGUUAUAACACAACUUAACCAUUGGAGAUGCUCUUAGACUUAUUUUUUGGAUGAAUGAUGAUAAAUUAUUACCAUAUAAUUAUCAUUAACUUUACUUUUUAUGUCAUCAUUACAAUAUAAUUAUUAUUUGUGAAACUUUUAUUAUUAGUUCAUUAUAACACAAUCAAGAAAUCAUUAUUAAUUUGUAAUUAUAUUUUUAUUAUUAACUUUAUUNNNNNNNNNNNNNNNNNNNNNNNNNNNNNNNNNNNNNNNNNNNNNNNNNNNNNNNNNNNNNNNNNNNNNNNNNNNNNNNNNNNNNNNNNNNNNNNNNNNNAAUAUUAUUAAACAUCAUUGGAGAUAAUAGUUUUUUUGUUUUUUUAUUGAUCAUUCAAUAUAUAUUGAAUAUUCAAUAUAGUAUAAAUGUUUAUCGAGUCUAAUCCUUUAUCUUUAAAAAUAUUUCAUUUUACCUACAUAAUUUUAUUUUAGUUGAAAUAAUAUUGAUUUCUUUAAUAAAUAAUUAUUUCUAUUAGAUGUUAAAAAUGUUUAUAUNUCUAUUAGAUGUUACAAAUGUUUAUAUAUUAUAACUACAAUAAAUUUUAAUACAAACUAUAUUUUAAUAAAAAUAUGAUGUGUUUAAAAACAACUAAUUAGUUUAAGGGGUUAUAAGAAACAAUUUAUAUACAUGUGGAUCAACUAGUUAAACUAAAAAAAAAAACACUAUGUUGAGGUUAACCUUUGCAGAUAUAACUUAAUUAGAGCUUAAAAAUAAAUAGAAUGAUGAGUUGACAAUAACUUUAAGUUAUAACACAACUUAACCAUUGGAGAUGCUCUUAGACUUAUUUUUUGGAUGAAUGAUGAUAAAUUAUUACCAUAUAAUUAUCAUUAACUUUACUUUUUAUGUCAUCAUUACAAUAUAAUUAUUAUUUGUGAAACUUUUAUUAUUUGUUCAUUAUAACACAAUCAAUAAAUCAUUAUUAAUUUGUAAUUAUAUUUUUAUUAUUAACUUUAUUCAUAUUGAUAACUUUAAAUUUAUGACAUGAAGAAAAACAAUGAAUCAAGUACUCCAUCACAUCCAACGAAAACUCUAGAAUAGUCUUCGUAUGAAGUCAAUAACUCAUCAUAUAAUUGUCGACGAAUGAAAAUGUGACAACCGAAAUUUUUUAUUUUAUAAAGCUUAGUCAAUCAAUCCAUUUGGGUGUCAAAAUAAUUAGUACAAAGUUCCAGCCAGGUUACAGGUCAUUCUAAGGAGUUUUGAACCUAAUACACUUAAGGAAUAAGUGAUAGAAAGUACCCGCUAGAACCACAGUGUAGCAAAUCGGACCCUAACCCCAUCUAAGUGAGUUCACGGCCACAAGACCAUGAGUUUACGACCGUAAACUCAUGUUGCCAUAAACUCAAGGGUAUAUAUAGAUCAUUGGGUCAUUUCCUCUCAUUUCUCCCUUUCUUGGCCGGAUUUUCUUCCAAAUCCUCUCAAGUAUCAUCCCGAUCUUCGUCCCCGGUCUUCAAAACCCGUAAGCUUAUUGUCUUAACUAGUUGAUAUCUUGCAUGAACUAGUAAUCUUACAUGAUUUCAUCCGUGAAAUCAUUCCAUUUUGUAGAUCUUCAAGUUACACCAAGAACACACACUAGUGUUCUUGGCCAAAACCGACCAUUCGAGCUUGUAGAUCGUAAGUACUCUUGAUCCAACUCAUUGUACACUAAGUUUAGCAUAUUUAGAGCUUAGAAAACAUAAGGAAUCAUGGGAUUCAAGGAGUUUAUGGCUAGGGCAUGUUCUUGGGCCGCAAACCCCUUUUAAGGGUGCAAAUGACACCCUAACACCUUAGUAAGCCUUGGUUAGUGUCAUAGAACCUUACACCAUUGACCUAAGGACCAUAAUUCAUGAAAUGGUACUCCUUACCAUGAGUUUACAGCCGUAAACUNNNNNNNNNNNNNNNNNNNNNNNNNNNNNNNNNNNNNNNNNNNNNNNNNNNNNNNNNNNNNNNNNNNNNNNNNNNNNNNNNNNNNNNNNNNNNNNNNNNNGCAUGUUUAGUUAUACUUGUUGUCUUCGUGAUACUUGUAUGUGCCAGGUAGGGAGGUGAGUGUGGGUAGGGUCUAGUAUCUCAUCACUAGCUGAGUGUAGACGGGGUUUCUUAUCUCAUCAUUAGCAGAGUAAGGGCGGGGACCAUGAUAGGCUAGGCCUUAGGAACGGAACAUAUAGUAUUGUGUAUGAUUCUUUAUGUUCGACCAAUAGGACCGGGACCGGAGAUGAGAGCAGCUCAAUAACGAAAGUUUAUGUUAAUUCCUAGAAUAGUUCAAAUCGGACAUAUUCUACAAACACUAGGUUAAAUCGGUAUGAUAGAUAUCGUUUAUUGGACUUGGAUAAUUAAAUUUCAUUCGGCCCGUUAAAAACAACAAUUUUUCAAACAAAUUAAACAUCUCGAUCAAUCAGAUUAUCUAGAAUGUACACAACUCGAAGUUUGAUGACGCACAACACUAUUGGGCACGUCUUUGACGCACACUAGACAACGGUAUGAACAACGUAUAGACCAAUACUUAUCAGUUGUUAUGUCUAUGGUUUUAUAAUAUAAGUUCACUAUAGAAUGAGUUAUGUUUAUGGAUUUCAGAUUUUUGGUUAUAUAUAUAUAUAUAUAUAUAUAUAUAUAUAUAUAUAUAUAUAUAUAUAUAUAUAUAUAUAUAUAUAUAUAUAUAUAUAUAUAUAUAUAUAUAUAUAUAUAUAUAUAUAUAUAUAUAUAUAUAUAUAUAUAUAUAUAUAUAUAUAUAUAUAUAUAUAUAUAUAUAUAUAUAUAUAAAAGAUAAACUUAUAAAAACUGGAUUGAAUCGGUUGAAUCGAACUUGUCAUAAAACGGGUUCAACUAAAAAACCUAUUUUUUAAAAGAACUUGGAAGGGUAGUUUUUAGGUAACAAAACAAUCUUUUAUAAUGUCGUGGAAAGUGGCAUAUAUUAUGAGACCAAUUAGAUACCCCUUAGAAUGUUUUCUAAACCAUUUGUAUUAUAGUAUUAUCUCUAAUUUUUAUAUUCUAGUCCAUAGGAUGCAUGUAUUUUGUCCCAAAAUCCUUAAUUUGUCGACAUACCCCACCUCACCCCACUAGUGAAAUAAGUGUAUAUGUAGAGGCUUUUUAACCACAACCACCCCUCAUCGGCAAUUUCGAAAGCCACGUGAAGUCUCUUAACGUGGCCCUUUAAGCAUCCACUCUCCUUUGUCUUCACCAGUUCUCCCCAGUCCCCAACCCUAUAAAACCCACCACCUCAAACCCCCAUCCUCCACUUCAACCACCACCACCACCACCAGUACUACUACCACCUUCUCUCCUCCCUCGAAACUUCAUAUAUCUUUUUCCGACAUGGCUGCUUCUUCAAUAUUCAUGGUAGCCCCCAUCACAGUUUUCAAGAGAAAUCCCGCAUUCCCCAUCAGGUGCAUGGCACAGACACCACAAAGUGGUGAAACCGGGAGUUCCAAACAAGCAAUCACACCAAAUAUGACCAGUACUCCUCCUCCACCGCCUGCUCCGAAGGUCAGCUCGAAGUUCUCCGACGUAUUGGCAUUCAGCGGACCGGCACCGGAGAGGAUAAACGGAAGGUUGGCGAUGAUCGGGUUUGUGUCGGCGAUGGCGGUAGAAGUGAGCAGCGGUCAAGACGUGUUUGCCCAGAUCGGCAAUGGCGGAGUGGCGGUGUUUGUCGGCACUAGCAUGGUGUUGACGUUAGCGUCGUUGGUGCCGUUGUUUAAAGGAGUGAGUGUGCAGUCGAAGUCGAGUGGACUGAUGACGUCAGAUGCAGAGCUUUGGAAUGGACGGGUUGCGAUGUUGGGGCUGGUGGCUUUGGCUUUCACUGAAUAUGUUAAAGGCAGUGCUCUUGUCUAGAUAAUGUAUUCCAAAAUCCAAACUUUUCUAUUACAUAAUUAAAUAUAAAACAGGAAAAUGUAUAUUCUUUUGAAUAUUUAUUUGUAUCAUUGACCUAACAUGGUUCAAAUCAUGAAAAACAUAUGUUUGAUAAUAUAAAAGAACAUAAUACAGUAUAAAACCAAAAACUAAGAUAAAAUUUAGGGGAAUAAACAAAUCGUUUACCCUGUAUAUAUGUAUAAGUGUAUAACACAUGAUCUUGAAUAAAACAACCUAAACUAAUUGAUAUAAGAGUCAAAGUAUAAAAUACUUAAACAUUCGGUGUAAUUAGGUGUGUCUAUUGCAAUCCUAGUUUUACAGCUUGCUCACAGGAACAGGAGAUGUAAGCAAAGUUAUUGUUAAGAUACCUUAAAAGCAAAACGAUCACAAAACCAUUAUAUAAUAUAACAAGUUAUUCGUGAAAUGGCCAUAUUUUGGCCNCUGAAAUUCAUUUAUUUUGGGUAACCAUUAAUUCAUGAUGUAAAUUUAAUUUUCUAACUAUUUAAUAUGUUAACGAUGAUUUUCUAACUAUUUAAUAUGUUAACGAUGAAACUGUUUAGAGAUAUAGACACUUGCAAAGGUUAUCUUCAUUCUUGAAGAUAACAGUGCUCUUAUUUAUUUCACUUUUUAACAAAUGUAUCAUAAAAAAAAAACGAUUUGACGAUUUUGAUAUUCAAUGUGCCUGAGUCAUCCAAGUAAAUUGUUAAAAACCUCUAAAUUCAUCUAUAUAACCACUCGCAAAGGGUAUCUUCAUUCUUCAAUAUACCUAAUUUGAUUUAAUGAUCUUGAGAAUGCAAACAAACUGUUUAAAAAGAUAGGUAAAACAAAUAUAACGAAAAUUUCGAAAAGUUAACCAUUGGAGAUGCAACUUAAUUAGAGCUUAAAACUAAUAGGAUGAGGAGUUGACAAUAACUCUAAGUUAUAACACAACUUAACCAUUGGAAAUGCUCUUAGACUUAUUUUUUGGAUGAACGAUGAUAAAUAAUUACCAUAUAAUUAUCAUUAACUUUACUUUUUAAGUUAUCAUUACAAUAUAAUUAUUAUUUGUCCAACUUUUAUUAUUAGUUUAUUAUAACACAAUCAAUAAAUCAUUAUUAAUUUAUAAUUAUAUUUUUACUAUUAACUUUAUUCAUAUUGAUAACUUUAAAUUUAUUUUUUAUUAAGAUAAAAAAACAACACUAAUAUUUUUUUAUAAUAUAAUCACAUAAAUAAUACUAUUAAAAAUAAAUUUUCAAAUAAGUUUUCAUCAACCUAACAUCAUUGAUAGUAUAAAUAACAUUAUAUGAAAAAUAAAUUCCGAACAGAUCUUCAUCAUUUUUUUUCUUUAGUUUUAAAUAUUACAUAACAAAAAUCAGAGACAAAAAUAAAUAACAAUUAAUCAUCUUUAGUCCUAAAAGAUAUUUCUGUAGGUUUGACUCGCUUAUAAAAUUUUAGACGCGACUUAUACAUAGUUUAUUAUUCGGUUGCGAACGGAUCUUUGUGGCAGAUAGAUAAUGUCGAAAUAGGAGGAAUCAGACACUCUUCUUCUAAUUGUAUCAUCACAUAAUGAUUGGUUUAUACAAGUGCUAAUGUAAGGACAAUAUGAUUUUGAAACUCUCAAGGACCUCUCCAUAGAGAGAAAAGGAUUAUAGAGUCUACUGUGGUAAAAAUUAGACGAUCAGAACAAACCUAUUGGUUAUUAGGAUACAUGUCUCAGGCAUAAACAUAUAGUGUCUAGUGGUGAUGUCCUUUCUUUCAUGAAGAAAAACAAAGAAUCAAGUACUCAAUCACAUCUAACGAAAACUCUAGAAUAGUCUUCAUAUGAAGUCAAUAACUCAUCAUAUAAUUGUCGACGAAUGAAAAGUCACUCAUCUUCAUCAUACCCGAGACAAACGACUACUGAUCGAACAUCACAAUUUCCAUCACCUAAUACAUUUUGUAUACACUUGAUGCUCGAAUAUAAAUAAUAUUCAUAAUUUUAAACUUAUUUUUAUUAAGACAAAAGAAAACAACAAU
Molecule: long non-coding RNA, 8086 nt
Filed under: Lactuca sativa (garden lettuce)
Lineage: Eukaryota; Viridiplantae; Streptophyta; Magnoliopsida; Asterales; Asteraceae
Description: long non-coding RNA (LSAT_LNC006711)
Source: RNAcentral